Molecule: ribosomal RNA, 410 nt
Filed under: uncultured bacterium
Lineage: Bacteria
Description: bacterial SSU rRNA
Rfam family: Bacterial small subunit ribosomal RNA
Source: RNAcentral
AGGAAUAUUGGUCAAUGGACGCAAGUCUGAACCAGCCAUGCCGCGUGAAGGAUGAAUGUCGUAAGAUUGUAAACUUCUUUUAUCUGGGACGCAACACUUCUUUUCUACGAGGCCUGACGGUACCAGAUGAAUAAGCACCGGCUAACUCCGUGCCAGCAGCCGCGGUAAUACGGAGUGUGCAAGCGUUAUCCGGAUUCACUGGGUUUAAAGGGUGCGUAGGUGGGUAUGUAAGUCAGUGGUGAAAUCCCCGAUCUUAACUUGGGAACUGCCAUUGAUACUAUAUAUCUUGAAGUCCGUAGAGGUAGGUGGAAUAUGUCAUGUAGCGGUGAAAUGCUUAGAUAUGACAUGGAACACCAAUUGCGAAGGCAGCUUACUAAGCGGUGAUUGACACUGAGGCACGAAAGCGUGGG